UCGGGAUGAGGGAACCGGUCAGGAUUUGGCAGGGCGAUGCAUUUCUCAGAACACUUCCUUCUCCCUGCUUUUUCUGUCUUCACUAAUAUUUAUUCUUGGGUUUCUAUUUUGUUUUAGAGAGUUUGCAAAACUGCUGUUUUGGGACCGAAGGGAAUAUUCUGCUGUGAAAGAACGUUUUAUGGACUUCAUACAACUGGGACCUUCAACACCGUCACCACCCUUGAAGCAACUGGGGGGCGGGGUGCAGCCGAGUGGGGCUGGUGCACAGCUGUGGCGGACUCCUGGCAUUCUCCACUCCUGGCCAGGCAGCUCUGGAAUCUGGAACAGGACAGGACAUGGUGGGAGCUGCAGGUGGUCCUGAUGUCAUUAAGAGUGAAGAAGAGGUUGAGAGUUUUUGGCUAUCUGCACUCAAUGGGGGAUGUGAAGGAUUCAUUGCAUGGGCUUAUGAAUCUCCAGAUGGCCUCAAAUGUACCAUGUGACUGGGGACAACCUCAUUCUCCUUGUCUCCAUUUCCCAAGUGCUGGGAUCUCAGAUAUGCCUGCCUGCAGAGAUUUCAUAAUGCCCUCAACUCUAUGGAGGAGACCCAGAUGA
RNAcentral lists this long non-coding RNA (591 nucleotides) under Cricetulus griseus (Chinese hamster). Its description in RNAcentral is "lncRNA (ENSCGRG00000026526.1)". Lineage: Eukaryota; Metazoa; Chordata; Mammalia; Rodentia; Cricetidae. The record is from RNAcentral.